ACGAAAUCCAAAUUCAGUGUAUGUAUGUGUGUGUAAAUAGGGGUGUGCAUUCGAUCAGUCUGGCUCCAAACAAAAAAAAGGGAUGAAUUAUCAGAAAUAUAAAAACCAAAUCAAACCAAAUUAAUUUAAUAAAGGAACCGAAUCGAACUGAACCAAACCAAAAUAGUUGAUUUGGCUUGGUUCGGUAAUUCAGACUCCUCCCUGCCUGUGCUGCUGUCAACUG
RNAcentral lists this unclassified non-coding RNA (223 nucleotides) under Hevea brasiliensis (rubber tree). The record is from RNAcentral. Lineage: Eukaryota; Viridiplantae; Streptophyta; Magnoliopsida; Malpighiales; Euphorbiaceae.